UUGGGUGAAAAUAGGAAACUACUCAUCAUCCAACCCACAUAAUAACACAAGACAGGAGAGCAAAAAACAACAACAAAAAAAACCAGAACAUCUCUCCAACUUUCCGUGGAAAAAUGUCGAGACAAUGAACACUGGUAGCUUAUUAAACCAUGGCCAAACACACAUAUGCCAUAAUUAGAGCCAAAUGUGGUUCAGGAAAAAAAUAUUGGAGCGUUUGUCUGUUUCCUUUGUAAUUCGUCUCUUGCUUCGGCCGGGUUACUGCAGGCAGAUCGAAUCAUAUUGCAGCCUGAAGCCAAACGAGGCAACGCGGCCGUGCAGCUCCGCUCUUUGUUUUUGUUUUUCACCGAGUGAAAAAAGAGGAAAGAUGCAACUCUGGUCAGCGUUCAGUGAUGUGAAACACCAGAGCUGCAUUUUAUUAGUUUGGUGUGAUGUGCAUUUUAUUUUUCAAUUGGAAUAAAGUAAAAUAAAAAAGUCAUCUUGUGUUGAUAUUGUUUUGCAUCUUUUAAUUGCAUUACCUAGAUCCAAAAGACUGUACGUUUAAAAAAAUAGCGUCAGAAAAAAAGAAUACAUACAUAUAUAUAUUCUUAGAACUACAUUUUGACUUUUGAAUAAAAAUGGAACGCUCAACAAAACAUCGUCCUUCAACUUAUUUUUCUAUUUAUGGAACAAAUCCUCCUUUGUUCAUAAAAUGACUUUUUGUUUCCAAGCAGCAGCGCUGGAAAACGUCUCUGAACCAACUUUUAAAAAAAUUGUUCUAAUUUGUUACAGCCAAUUUGACUUGUUUUGUUCAAGCUUUAAUUCUCAUUUCAGAAUUAUAAUUGUAUAAAUUCAAAUCUGCAUAACAGCUUGUGCCAAAACUAGUAUAAUUAACUUUUUUUUUUUUUAAGUUGGUUGGAAGAAACUUUUUUUCAGUGAGGACUCCGAGGCGGGAAGCGUCAUCCGUUACCAGUCAGCCGCUGGCUCUGGCUGGGAUCGGUGAUGUCAUUGGAAACCCGGGGAAGGAAGUGGCAGUGAAGUGGUUCAGCUGUGUCUCAGUGGGGGGUGAGGGGUCGUGGAGGUGGGGUGGGAUGGAGGGGAACAGAUUCCUCAGGAUCCAGGAAACAAACUCCGACUCAGGAAGCAGGAAACCUGUUAGUCACAUUAGCCACAGGGUCAUCCCAGGGAAGGGAAGGUCUCAGUGAAAGAAAACACUUUGCUUUAAAACAGCUUUAUUGUGAUGGAACAGCUGCAGAACUACAAUCUUAGACAAUAAAUGAAUAAAUAAAAAGUUUGACUUGCGCUCAGCAGGAGAAGAACGUGGAAGCUCCUGCAGCGAUGCACCUCAGGGAGGAACUACUCUUCUGAUUCUCCCUCCAUGUCAGUUGUAGCACAUGGUUCUGACUUGGGCAGAUCCAGGUCAAAGGUUUCUUUUAUGAUACAAACAGAACGGCUGCAUUAAACCGCUUGGAGACGGGAACUGAGUUUUGGGAAAAUGCCGAGUAGGUUUUAGGCCCGAGCAGCUAACAGAGCCUGGUUCUGCUGGCGGUUUCUUCCUCUUGCUCCCUGUUCCCACAUGCUGGCCAAAGACCGCUGCAAAGUGAAUAACUUGAUGCAAUCAUUGAGCAGUGUCCCCACGGCAUGAUGCAGUUCAGCGUACAUUAACUAUCCUGACCCUUUGUGCCUCUGUUUGGUCCAUUCUGAUGGGGAGAUACUACAGCAGAGGUACAACUCCUAAUAAGCUUUGUACUUGGCUCAUGGAGCUCCUCAUCUGCUGCCUCUCUAGCGCACCAACAAGAUCAGAUUUGGAAAGAAGUUGCCUUUUACAGUUUGAUCGUCUCGGUCACCGUUCUCUGUGGCCCAGGAACAAAUGGUCCGGUGGUUGGGGACCAUUGGUUGCAAAACGUUUUUUGGGUUUAACAUGUGCUGCCUGCAGAGAAUCACACCUAGAACUCUGUAGCUCUUCCAGUUACCAUGGUUGCAUAUGUCAU
Long non-coding RNA from Xiphophorus maculatus (southern platyfish), 1967 nucleotides. RefSeq lists it as uncharacterized. The transcript has 3 exons. NCBI's taxonomy places the organism in Eukaryota, Metazoa, Chordata, Actinopteri, Cyprinodontiformes, Poeciliidae. The record is from RefSeq and is a predicted model, not a curated record.